This 497-nucleotide ribosomal RNA is filed under the name uncultured bacterium. RNAcentral's name for it is "partial 16S ribosomal RNA". It matches the Rfam family "Bacterial small subunit ribosomal RNA", at positions 28 to 507 of the family's 1533-position model. The record is from RNAcentral.
GAUGAACGCUGGCGGCGUGCCUAAUACAUGCAAGUCGAGCGAACAGACGAGGAGCUUGCUCCGCUGACGUUAGCGGCGGACGGGUGAGUAACACGUGGAUAACCUACCUAUAAGACUGGGAUAACUUCGGGAAACCGGAGCUAAUACCGGAUAAUAUAUUGAACCGAAUGGUGCAAUAGGGAAAGACGGUUUUGCUGUCACUUAUAGAUGGAUCCGCGCCGCAUUAGCUAGUUGGUAAGGUAACGGCUUACCAAGGCAACGAUGCGUAGCCGACCUGAGAGGGUGAUCGGCCACACUGGAACUGAGACACGGUCCAGACUCCUACGGGAGGCAGCAGUAGGGAAUCUUCCGCAAUGGGCGAAAGCCUGACGGAGCAACGCCGCGUGAGUGAUGAAGGUCUUCGGAUCGUAAAGCUCUGUUAUUAGGGAAGAACAAAUGUGUAAGUAACUAUGCACGUCUUGACGGUACCUAAUCAGAAAGCCACGGCUAACUACGUG